ACUCAAAUGAAUUGACGGGGACCCGCACAAGCGGUGGAGCGUGUGGUUUAAUUCGACGCUAAGCGAAGAACCUUACCAGGGUUUGACAUCCUGGUCGUAUCCCGGUGAAAGCCGGGAGUCAGUCUGCUGGACCAGUGACAGGUGCUGCAUGGCCGUCGUCAGCUCGUGUCGUGAGAUGUUGGGUUAAGUCCCGCAACGAGCGCAACCUCUGUCGUCUGUUGUAUUUUUCAGACGAGACUGCCUCGGUCAACGAGGAGGAAGGUGGAGAUGACGUCAGGUCAGCAUGGCCCUUACGCCCUGGGCGACACACGCGCUACAAUGGCCGGUACAAUGGGUCGCGAAAUCGCGAGAUGGAGCUAAUCCCAUCAAAGCCGGUCCCAGUUCGGAUUGGAGGCUGCAACUCGCCUUCAUGAAGCCGGAAUCGCUAGUAAACGCGGAUCAGCCACGCUGCGUUGAAUACGUUCUCGGGUCUUGUACACACCGCCCGU
RNAcentral lists this ribosomal RNA (488 nucleotides) under uncultured bacterium. RNAcentral's name for it is "partial 16S ribosomal RNA". It matches the Rfam family "Bacterial small subunit ribosomal RNA", at positions 899 to 1397 of the family's 1533-position model. The record is from RNAcentral.